Molecule: ribosomal RNA, 462 nt
Filed under: uncultured Lachnospiraceae bacterium
Lineage: Bacteria; Bacillati; Bacillota; Clostridia; Lachnospirales; Lachnospiraceae
Description: bacterial SSU rRNA
Rfam family: Bacterial small subunit ribosomal RNA
Source: RNAcentral
AAGUACGAGCGAAGACACUUCUAUUAGAACUCGUUCGGUAGGGACGAGGAAGUGACGUGAGCGGCGGACGGGUGUAGUAACGACGUGGGCGAACCUAGCCUUACUACAGGGGGAGUAACAGUUAGAAAUAGACUGCUAAUACCGCAUAAGACCACAUUGCCGCAUGGCGAGGGUGGUAAAAACUCCGGUGGUGUAAGAUGGGCCCGCGUCUGAUUAGGUAGUUGGCAGGGUAGAGGCCUACCAAGCCUACGAUCAGUAGCCGGCCUGAGAGGGUGGACGGCCACAUUGGGACUGAGACACGGCCCAAACUCCUACGGGAGGCAGCAGUGGGGAAUAUUGCACAAUGGGGGAAACCCUGAUGCAGCGACGCCGCGUGAGUGAGGAAGUAUUUCGGUAUGCAAAGCUCUAUCAGCAGGGAAGAAAAUGACGGUACCUGACUAAGAAGCCCCGGCUAACUACGUG